Chelmon rostratus (copperband butterflyfish) is the source of this 2228-nucleotide long non-coding RNA. RefSeq lists it as uncharacterized. NCBI's taxonomy places the organism in Eukaryota, Metazoa, Chordata, Actinopteri, Chaetodontiformes, Chaetodontidae. The record is from RefSeq and is a predicted model, not a curated record. The transcript has 3 exons.
CCUGCUCAUCCCUGGUGCACCUAGUAACAAUGUAUGCCGUGUUGUUUCCUGUAUUCCAUCUUGUCUGAAGAUAAAGCAGGAUUUCAGUCUGAUGUUUGGUGAUGACAUCUCUGCAGAGUUCCUGGAGAAGUGACCUACUCACUGCAGGCAGAAAGUCCUUGAACAAAGCCGUGGCCUCACCCAGACAAGCCACCUUGAAGAUCUCCUUCAUAACGCUGAUUCCACAACAGAACAACUGGAACAUGGAUGGGACCGUGAGAUGACCUCCGUCUUGCUCCUUAACCACUCAUGCCACCAUCACCUGAUGGCCGCAACAAGAGACCAGGAAAGCUCUCAGCCAGACAAGCCAUUGACCACCUUGUGAAAUUUAUCAAGACUGGGACCAGUGUUGAGGGGCAUCUGGACAGCAUCACAGAGAGGCGUCAACCCUAUCUACUGGCUGUGGGGACCCAGAAGAGCGCCAUACACAAGCAUUUCAUUGUGAUUGACAAACAUGCAAUCCCGUGUCAGUCACCAGAUUCUCUUGCCUCUUUCGACAAGCUUUUUAAAGCUCAUUUCGUCUUCGCUACCUCGUACAACAGGGAUCUGGCCAAUGUCUACCACUUUUUGCAAACCGCUGUUUACCAGAUUGAUGCUGCUACCACCAAGGUGAAUCCCAGGGUCAAAGAGAUGAGGGCUCGGAUGCUGCACUGGUUUUGACACCUUGAGAUGCUUUGGUUUGGAGGGUUCGGAUGCUGUACUGCAAAGAUGUAUUUUGAGGGCUCUGAUGCGUCACUGAUUUGAUACAGAGAUGUUUUGUUUUAUUUGCAAAGGCCCUCAGGCAAAUGCCAAUUCAUGAAUUAAGCACUUAAAGUUGAUCCACGGACUUUGUUCAGGAAAGACACUUGGCCUGAAAUGUGGUCAGCCUGGUUGUUCUCAUUUCUUUGGUACUUUUUCUGGGUUUCCAAACCAUCUUAAAGCCCCUGAAGCGUGUGAUGAUCCUGGUGAAGGCCCCUCUACAACUGAAGAUUUAGCCGGACGUUUUGUUGAUGACUUUGCAUCAAACAGUGCCCCUUCUGACCCAGUCCUCCUUAAUAAGAGUCUUGUAGACAGCUGUGCUGCUACAGUAGCUGUGAGGUUGAGUGUAAAAUUGAUGAUUGCUUUGAAAACAUUGAAAAUCCUUUUGGUGUCUUAAAUUCUGAAACUAAGAGAAGGCAGUAUUUCACAGAUGCUGUUGUUUACAUUUGCACUACAAACAGUGUGUAUGGAUGAGCAUUUUUAAGCAUUUGAAGUUGUGUGUACUGCAGAAGGACCUCAUGUUGUUGAUGUCAAAGAGCUUUUGUGUUACAAAGCAUUGGAUAUGCAGAUGUCAUACAGUAAUGAUGAUUCAAGUUCAUGUAUUGUUCCGUACUGUUUCCUGUGAUAAAAGAAUGGCUAAGAUCUAACUGUUGCACUGGGGAUGAACAAUGGAUUUCUGAAUUUCUUUGCCCAUAACUCAAAUUCUAAUGUUUUCAUAUUUCCUCCUCUUUUUUCGAAUCCACCCAAUUUUAAAGAGCACAUUGUGUCCAAAUUGUGAUUGCCCACCAGUUGGGCGUAAAUGUUUUGGCUGGGCUGAUGGCUAUUGCAGUAUUUUACAUCCUUAUCUGCAGCUGCUGAUGGUGUGGUGAUCGUGUGCAUACCUGUUUGCAAUAUUCUAUUUGUUUUUAUUAUGAAAUUUUAGGGAUGUGUCACCCUUAAAGACUUUUUGUCCCCCCUCAUAUUAAUUACUCUGCCCAUGGAGCCUUAUUCAUGGAGAUUUUUGUUCCAGGUUUUGAGGCCAUUUUAACCACCGUGUGGUGGUAACGUUAUGAUAUUACAUACAGAACGCUGCCUCAAUUGUGAGCUAACGUUGGCUAAGGGAUGCUAACGUUAGGUUCCGCCCUCAUAACCGAACCUUCUUUCCAGCUCUGUCAGUCACACGGUUCACGAUGAACUGUCACAAAGGUAAAUACUUCAAUGAACAACUCUACUUUUGUGUCUGAAUGUUGUCUUUUGUUCAAGAAUAUGUACCUUUCCAGGUGCCGUGUCGGACUGUAAGGAAACAGCUUGGGCGGAAGUGCGCUGCGCCUUCUUCGUGUUGGGUUAAAACGGAGCGGCUUUGACUUGCUGCCCCCUACAGGCUGUAUGUGAUAGAAAAGCAAAUUGUAUUGGAAAUUGUGCAAAUAGGUCAAAAUAAAAAAUAAUUUCAAAACUAAAAAAAGGCUAUGUAC